CAGCAGCCGCGGGAACACGUAGGGCGCAAGCGUUACCCGGAAUUAUUGGGCGUAAAGAGUUCGUAGGCGGUUUGUCGCGUCUGCCGUGAAAGUCCGGGGCUCAACCCCGGAUCUGCGGUGGGUACGGGCAGACUAGAGUGAUGUAGGGGAGACUGGAAUUCCUGGUGUAGCGGUGAAAUGCGCAGAUAUCAGGAGGAACACCGAUGGCGAAGGCAGGUCUCUGGGCAUUAACUGACGCUGAGGAGCGAAAGCAUGGGGAGCGAACAGGAUUAGAUACCCCCGUAGUCCCUGUCUCUUAUAU
Molecule: ribosomal RNA, 301 nt
Filed under: uncultured bacterium
Lineage: Bacteria
Description: partial 16S ribosomal RNA
Rfam family: Bacterial small subunit ribosomal RNA
Source: RNAcentral